AGUGAACGCUGGCGGUAGGCCUAACGCAUGCAAGUCGAACGGCAGCACAGUAAGAGCUUGCUCUUACGGGUGGCGAGUGGCGGACGGGUGAGGAAUACAUCGGAAUCUACUUUUUCGUGGGGGAUAACGUAGGGAAACUUACGCUAAUACCGCAUACGACCUACGGGUGAAAGCAGGGGAUCUUCGGACCUUGCGCGAUUGAAUGAGCCGAUGUCGGAUUAGCUAGUUGGCGGGGUAAAGGCCCACCAAGGCGACGAUCCGUAGCUGGUCUGAGAGGAUGAUCAGCCACACUGGGACUGAGACACGGUCCAGACUCCUACGGGAGGCAGCAGUGGGGAAUAUUGGACAAUGGGCGCAAGCCUGAUCCAGCCAUACCGCGUGGGUGAAGAAGGCCUUCGGGUUGUAAAGCCCUUUUGUUGGGAAAGAAAAGCAGCAGGUUAAUACCCCGCUGUUCUGACGGUACCCAAAGAAUAAGCACCGGCUAACUUCGUG
Molecule: ribosomal RNA, 492 nt
Filed under: uncultured bacterium
Lineage: Bacteria
Description: partial 16S ribosomal RNA
Rfam family: Bacterial small subunit ribosomal RNA
Source: RNAcentral